This 1339-nucleotide unclassified non-coding RNA is filed under the name Hevea brasiliensis (rubber tree). The record is from RNAcentral. Lineage: Eukaryota; Viridiplantae; Streptophyta; Magnoliopsida; Malpighiales; Euphorbiaceae.
GAUCCUAAAACUGGGCUGGAGAAGGACACGGUGAAGUCUUAUGCUCGUAUUCUUCUAGGGAUUCAUGAGCCUGGUGAGGUGAAGUUAGAGGCAAACUUCAAGGUUCCAGAUGGAUUUGGUGAGGUUGGAGCCGUCCUGAUAGAGAACGAACAUAACAAGGAAAUCUUCAUUGAAAGCAUUGUUCUUGAAGGCUUUCUCAAUGGUCCUGUCACUGUUUCGUGCAAUUCUUGGGCUCAUUCUAAACACGAUAACCCCAAGAAGAGAAUUUUCUUCACCAAUAAGUCAUACUUACCUGCUGAAACACCAGACGGAUUGAAGAGGCUAAGAGAGGAGGAAUUGGAAAAUCUAAGAGGAAAUGGACAAGGAGAGAGAAAGUCUUUUGAGAGGAUCUAUGACUAUGAUGUAUACAAUGACCUUGGAGAUCCGGAUUCCAGCGAAGACCUUGCAAGACCUGUUCUUGGUGGCAAAGAGCAUCCUUUUCGGUUCUAGGACGUCCAGUUCUACAACGCCUAGGGUCCCAUUGACAGAAUCAAGAAGCAGCGAUUUUUAUGUACCAAGAGAUGAGGCAUUUGCAGAGUUGAAACAAGCAUCAUUUGGUAUAAAUACAGUAAAAUCUUUGUUACAUGCAUUGGUGCCUACCAUAGAGACUGCAAUUGUUGAUGACAAGCUUGGAUUCCCAUACUUCACUGCCAUAGACAAACUAUUUGAUGAAGGAAUUGAAUUGCCUAAAGAAGUUAAAAAACCUUGGUACCUUCAUACACUAUUACCAAGAACUGUGAAAGCUGUUAAGGAAACUGGAGAUGAAAUCUUGCUUUUUGAGACUCCUGAACUUUUUGAUAGAGAUAAAUUUUCUUGGUUUAGGGAUGAAGAAUUUUCACGUCAAACUCUUGCCGGUCUUAAUCCGUAUGGCAUAGAGCUAGUUACGGAAUGGCCUCUAACGAGCAAACUUGAUCCUAACGUCUAUGGUCCUCCUGAAUCAGCGAUCACAAAAGAAAUAAUCGAAAAAGAAAUCAGGGGCUUCAUGACUGUUGAAGAGGCUUUGAAGCAGAAGAGGCUAUUUAUAUUGGAUUACCAUGAUAUUCUCUUACCAUAUGUGGCCAAAGUAAGGGAGCUUGAAGGCACCACAUUGUAUGGUUCCAGGACAAUGUUCUUCCUCGUCAAUGAUAGCACAUUGAGGCCUGUUGCUAUUGAACUCACUCGCCCACCAAUUGGUGGCCAACCACAAUGGAAACAAGUGUUUACGCCAAGCUUUGAUGCCACUAGCUGUUGGCUUUGGAGGAUGGCAAAAGCACAUGCCUUAGCUCAUGACUCUGGCAUCCACCAACUUGUCUCUCACUGG